RNAcentral lists this long non-coding RNA (1589 nucleotides) under Olea europaea subsp. europaea. The record is from RNAcentral. Lineage: Eukaryota; Viridiplantae; Streptophyta; Magnoliopsida; Lamiales; Oleaceae.
GGCCAGUGCUACGGGCCAUUUCGGCCAAAGCAAACUAGUUAAAUAAAAAAAAUACAGCAAAAAAAAUAUGUGUUAAAGGCAGCCAAAAACUUUGCAGCUAUUUAGCUGCCUUAAACCGGCAGUUAUUAGAAAAAAAAUCGAGCUGGCUCAGUUCAGUAAGGCCCGAGCCGAAAGCUCGAAUCGAGCCUCGAUUUUUUGACAGAGUUUUUGCUUGGCUAGAGUUAGGUCAAAAAAAGCCCGACCAAAAAAAGUUCGAGCUAAGCUCGAGCCUCUAGUUUUGGCUCGUUGACACCCCUAACUAUAGCAACUCAUUUGUAAUAUCUCAAAAUUUAUAAGUAAAAUUUCAAAUUUCUCCUAUCUAUUCCCUUCUACAUCCAACAAAUUUUGGUAUUAGAGCUUAGGCAAAAUACAAAAAUCAAAUCCUACCAAAAGUUGAAACAAAACCAGCUUCAAAAACCCACCGUAGUUGUAACAGAGUUUUAAUUAGAAACAAAUGAGCUAUGACCACAAAUUCAGCAGCCUCCUUGUUCACAUAUUCACCAAGUACCAAUCUUUAAAUGUGAACAUUAUAAAUAUUAGGGUAGUCAAAUGCAAACUUUCUUCAUCUCUUUAGAUUUAUAUAGGAUGUCAUUGAAGACGAUGAGGUGGUAGAAGAUUCGACCGAAGACGAUGAAGAAGAUUCAAAGUUAAAAAAGGAAUACGAAAAGAAAGAUGCAAUGGCGUUCCGAUAUAUUCAACAAGGAGUUGGAAAAUCAAAUUUUCCUCAUAUAUUUGGUGUUAAAAAAGCCAAAGAUACAUGGAAAAUUUUAAAUCAAGAAUUUCAAGGCUUGGAGUAAACUAUCGCCUUGAAACUUCAAUCUUUAUGGAAAGAUUUUGACAAUCUCAAAACGGAAGAACGAGAGUCGAUUCGCGAUUUCUCUUCACGAGUUUCGGAGAUUGUAAACCAAAUCAAAAGUUGCAGAGAUAUGAUUAUAGACAAAAGAAUUGUUGAGAAAGUGCUUCGAUGUCUCCCUCCAAAAUUCAAUCAUCUAGCUGCCGCAAUUGAAGAAUUAAAGGACUUGUUUAAAAUGACCAUCUACGAGUUGAUCGGAUCACUUCUUGCAUAUGAGCAAAGAAUUAAUCGUUUGGUUAGUCAAUCAACCGAACAAGCCUUGCAAUCUAAGCAAGCAUUAAAAAUAAGUUCAAGCAAUCAUGGAGGUUCAAAUAAAAAAAGGGAAAGUUUAGCAAGUGGAAUCAAAAUGUAAAGCAAAGUAAUUAAAAAGCCAAGGCACCACAACAAUCUGACAACGCUCAAUGUUGUAUUAUUUGCAAAAAGAACAAUCAUAAAUGAAAAGAUUGCUAUCUUAAAUACAAAAGAUGCAAAGUGCCUAAUCAUUCUCAAAAAGAUUGUUGGUUUCAAAAAAAGAAGAAAAAUGAAGAUGCAACAAAUUUUUUCAAAGAGAGUGAAGAUGAAAUUCUAUUUUAUUCUCAUCAAAAUGGUGACUUUGAAUCCAAGAAUCAAUGGAAUUUGGAUAGCGGGGCUAGCAAUCACAUAGAGAUUAAUCCAAAUAUUACCUUCAAAUCAUUCUGAGACAUGGAACACAAAGAAG